Molecule: long non-coding RNA, 553 nt
Organism: Sebastes umbrosus (honeycomb rockfish)
Lineage: Eukaryota; Metazoa; Chordata; Actinopteri; Perciformes; Sebastidae
Exons: 3
Source: RefSeq, a predicted model, not a curated record
UCUUCAUUCAGCCUUCCAACAAGCUUUGUGCAUUCAGGAUUCGUCUGCACUGAACUGUUCAGGAUUUAUUGAGUCUUCGUGUAAAGGCGACCUAUACUGCGUAUGUGCAUCCACCUCGUCCCGACGCUACACAAACUGAUUCUCAGGAAGAGUGGCUAGCCUUGAAGUGUAUAUGAGACUGAGCUCCCCUCACAAAGAGGUACUCGCUGUCGAAGCUCUAGCUGCGAGUCCUUAUUUGCACAGUGUGGAUAAUGAUGUCCUUCAAUCUGCCUGUAAGACCUACUAUGAGACAGUGAGCAGAGUGUAGCAGCAGAUGAUGUGGGUUUCAGGAGGGACGCCACGAUUGAUGUCUGGGUUGACGGCUACAGUAUAUACAUCACAGGCGUCUGCACAUUGGACCACAUUAGGACAGAAUGCCACCAAAUACAUACGACUCAGAGGCAGCAAAAAAGACAUUUCAAGGCUCAUGUGAUGCCCCCAGGUCAGGCGAACUGUUGUUCCAGACAGUGGCUGGACACUUUGAAAGUUCCAGUUGUUGCUCUUACACAGUAAU